CCCGAGAUAGUGAUGGUGGCUCCGUAGAGCAGUGCGGUUCUUGCGCUGUCCGGUGCGCUAACGUCGGCCCUUGAAAAUCCGAGUGAGGGAGUGUGAUUUUCGUGCCGGACCGUACCCACAUCCGCAGCAGGUCUCCAAGGUGAACAGCCUCUAGUCGAUGGACCAAUGUAGGUAAGGGAAGUCGGCAAAACGGAUCCGUAACCUUGGGAUAAGGAUUGGCUCUGAGGACUGAGCCGGUCGGGCUGGGGACCUGAAGCAGGAACGGCACUGCACCGGGACUGGGCGGGGCUCGCCGUUCACGCGGCGCGGCCAAGCCCGGACCAGCGUCGGGACCUUCCUGUGGAAAGCCUCAGCUGCGCGGCGUCCGAGGGCUUCGUGCCCAAAGUGCUAUGCUUCGGCCGGCAAAAAACAGUCAACUCAGAACUGGCACGGACCGGGGGAAUCCGACUGUCUAAUUAAAACAAAGCAUUGCGAUGGCCGCUGGUCGGUGUUGACGCAAUGUGAUUUCUGCCCAGUGCUCUGAAUGUCAACGUGAAGAGAUUCAUCAAAGCGCGGGUAAACGGCGGGAGUAACUAUGACUCUCUUGCCAAACUCGACGACUAUCUCCGGCACGUCUUCGUGUGUGACAAGGGUCCAAGUCAUGGUCGCGCUGGGGACCGUCAGGCAAAGGGGCCGACGAGU
This 681-nucleotide non-coding RNA is filed under the name Ixodes scapularis (black-legged tick). RNAcentral describes it as "Eukaryotic large subunit ribosomal RNA". It matches the Rfam family "Eukaryotic large subunit ribosomal RNA", at positions 1735 to 2280 of the family's 3401-position model. Lineage: Eukaryota; Metazoa; Arthropoda; Arachnida; Ixodida; Ixodidae. The record is from Rfam by way of RNAcentral.